This is a long non-coding RNA of Parambassis ranga (Indian glassy fish), 696 nucleotides long. NCBI's taxonomy places the organism in Eukaryota, Metazoa, Chordata, Actinopteri, Ambassidae. The record is from Ensembl.
CUAUAAAAUGCAGCCAGUAAACGUAACACUUGAUAUUAACAUCUAUCUCACAAAGAAAGUCAUCUUCCUGAGGGUUUGUGUUGAAUGAAAAAUUACUGCACUGUGGUCAUUAGAUUAUCUCAGAGUGUGAUGAGCUGAAGGUUGAAGGGUUUUUUUGGGUUUUGUCCACUAGAUGUCACUAGAACAACAUUAGUAAUUGAGACGAUUGAAGCAAGGCGUCUGGACUUGUAGAGUUUUCGUUUCGUUUCGCUGCUCAUCCAAGCAGCUUCAUCAGUUCUAACUGGUGGGGAAACAUGGUUUGUAUGUGGUGGAGGACCUCAGUGGGUGGGUCUGGGUGAAACUCACAAACAAUAGCACUAAAUGUCUCCAUACUUACCUGCGUUGGUCUGUGACUGUGUCUGGUGUGUCUAACGACUGGCUAAUGACUGUGAGACUGCUGGAGGGGGACAGGUGGACGGUCCAUUGUUCUUGCUAGUGAAGUGGCAAAAAUGUUUCUACAUUUCCAGAAAUUCCAAGAAGGCAACAAACUCUCGACUGCAUGCGCUGACACAGCUGAGCCAGCACCCUCUAAGAUGUUCAAAGGCAUCGCUGCUGCAGCAAUCAGAGGUCACAACCCAAACACGACCCCUGCACAGCGGGCGUCCAACUGAAGCCCAGGAGAGCAGGCUCCAGCUGCACAUAAAGGUUUGGAAGAUG